Halocaridina rubra (Hawaiian volcano shrimp) is the source of this 73-nucleotide non-coding RNA. NCBI's taxonomy places the organism in Eukaryota, Metazoa, Arthropoda, Malacostraca, Decapoda, Atyidae. The record is from the annotation of a GenBank genome assembly.
ACCUUCUAUGGUGUAGUUGGUAGCACGUUUACUUAGUAAUUAAAAUUCCUAGGUUCAAGUCUCUGUCAGGGUG